GAUGAAUAACGUAGUGAAACGCGAUAGUUAAUGUGAAUUGCAGAAUUCAGUGAAUCAUCGAGUCUUUGAACGCACAUUGCGCCCAUUGGUAUUCCGUUGGGCAUGUCUGUUUGAGCGUCAUUACAACAGUUCAGCGUAAGCUGGUUAUGAGUUCUGUUUUUUUAAACAAAAAACAGGCUUUAAAAUGUAUGUUCUGCAGGUCGCUUUGCUAAACCCUAAACAUUAAAUACUGUUCUAGUGAAGCAUUUGCGACUCUGCCUGAAAAAAAACUUUUGUUAAAGUUUGACCUCAGAUCAGACAAGGAUACCCGCUGAACUUAAGCAUAUCAAUAAGCGGAGGA
This 340-nucleotide unclassified non-coding RNA is filed under the name soil metagenome. Its description in RNAcentral is "partial contains 5.8S ribosomal RNA, internal transcribed spacer 2, and large subunit ribosomal RNA". The stretch from base 1 to 120 matches the Rfam family "5.8S ribosomal RNA", at positions 35 to 154 of the family's 154-position model. The record is from RNAcentral.